This 404-nucleotide ribosomal RNA is filed under the name uncultured bacterium. RNAcentral's name for it is "bacterial SSU rRNA". It matches the Rfam family "Bacterial small subunit ribosomal RNA", at positions 355 to 775 of the family's 1533-position model. The record is from RNAcentral.
UAGGGAAUAUUGCACAAUGGGCGAAAGCCUGAUGCAGCAACGCCGCGUGCGCGAUGAAGGCCUUCGGGUCGUAAAGCGCUUUUCGGGGAGAUGAGGAAGGACAGUAUCCCCGGAAUAAGGCUCGGCUAACUACGUGCCAGCAGCCGCGGUAACACGUAGGAGCCAAGCGUUAUCCGAAUUCACUGGGCGUAAAGCGCGUGCAGGCGGCUCGAUAAGUUGGAUGUGAAAGCUCCCGGCUCAACUGGGAGAGGACGUUCAAUACUGUCGGGCUAGAGGACGGCAGAGGAAGGUGGAAUUCCCGGUGUAGUGGUGAAAUGCGUAGAUAUCGGGAGGAACACCAGUGGCGAAGGCGGCCUUCUGGGCCGAACCUGACGCUCAGACGCGAAAGCUAGGGGAGCGAACGG